RNAcentral lists this ribosomal RNA (468 nucleotides) under uncultured bacterium. RNAcentral describes it as "partial 16S ribosomal RNA". It matches the Rfam family "Bacterial small subunit ribosomal RNA", at positions 28 to 507 of the family's 1533-position model. The record is from RNAcentral.
GACGAACGCUGGCGGCGUGCUUAACACAUGCAAGUCGAACGGAAAGGCCCUGCUCUUGCGGGGUGCUCGAGUGGCGAACGGGUGAGUAACACGUGAGUAACCUGCCCUUGUCAUUGGGAUAACUCCAGGAAACUGGGGCUAAUACCGGAUAGGAGCUCCUGCUGCACGGGGGGGGUUGGAAAGAUUCGGCGGUUGGGGAUGGACUCGCGGCUUUUCAGCUUGUUGGGGGGGUAGUGGCGUACCAAGGCUUUGACGGGUAGCGGGCCUGAGCGGGUGACCGGCCACAUUGGGACUGAGAGACGGCCCAGACUCCUACGGGAGGCAGCAGGGGGGAAUAUUGCACAAUGGGAGGAAGCGUGAUGCAGCAACGCCGCGGGCGGGAUGACGGCCUUCGGGUUGUAAACAGCUUUCGCCUGUGACGAAGCGUGAGUGACGGUAAUGGGUAAAGAAGCACCGGCUAACUACGUG